This 66-nucleotide transfer RNA is filed under the name Aphodius foetens. Its description in RNAcentral is "tRNA-Cys". Lineage: Eukaryota; Metazoa; Arthropoda; Insecta; Coleoptera; Scarabaeidae. The record is from RNAcentral.
AGUCUUAUAGUCAAAGUUAAUAUGAUAUUAAAUUGCAAGUUUAAGGGUGGAAAAUUUCUAAGGCUU